GCUUUGCGGCUGAUCCCCCUCUUUUCUAAGGAUCGCGGCCAUGUCGAGACCUCGUCCUCGGACGACCCGCUCGAUUGGAAGCGUUUCUCAGACACAACAGACGCGUCGCGUCGCCGUCCUCGCAUCCCUUCUGACCCGUAUUCGAAAUGGCCGCCCCGGUCGUCGUGGGGUACCCCCGGCUUCGACGGGCGCGCGGUCCGUGGGCUAGUAGCUCAGUUGGUUAGAGCGCGCGCUUGAUAAGCGUGAGGUCGGAGGUUCAAAUCCUCCCUGGCCCACCACCGGUCGACUGACGUGGCUCUCCGGCGCCCCGCGCCGCGACGGGCUCGGGGGCGUAGCUCAGCUGGGAGAGCGCCUGCUUUGCAAGCAGGAGGUCAUCGGUUCGAUCCCGUUCGCCUCCACCAGAUCCUGGUGGCUGGCGGUGGAUCGCCCGGCCCGGGAUCGCCCGAUCCAGGGCUGAUUGGCUCCAGGGCUGACUGGCUCCAGGGCUGACUGGCUCCAGGGCUGAUUGCCCAGGCAUUUCGACGGGUCCGCCCGAUCCGCGUGCGGCGGCGGGGCGUCUCGGGGUUCGCCGGUGCUGGCUGGCACCGGCGGAGGUCUUACUCAUCGUGAAUAGGUGUGACACACGGUUCGGAAACCGGAACGGUGUCUUGGCUCGGCGUCUGGUCGGGCUGGGACACGCGCGCGGGCCGAUCCGUGACAGUCGACAAGUUCUCAGCUGAUUAGCGGUGCCUGUCGCGUUCGGGGCUUGCCCCUGCACGAGACGGGCUUUCGCGAGAUCAAGCGCUGAAGGGCACAUGGUGGAUGCCUUGGCAUCGAGAGGCGAUGAAGGACGUGGCACUCUGCGAUAAGCCGUGGGGAGGGGAGAGCACCCGUUGAUCCGCGGAUUUCCGAAUGGGGAAACCCGGAAGC
RNAcentral lists this unclassified non-coding RNA (909 nucleotides) under uncultured bacterium. Its description in RNAcentral is "partial contains 16S ribosomal RNA, 16S-23S ribosomal RNA intergenic spacer, and 23S ribosomal RNA". The stretch from base 775 to 909 matches the Rfam family "Bacterial large subunit ribosomal RNA", at positions 1 to 135 of the family's 2925-position model. The record is from RNAcentral.